RNAcentral lists this unclassified non-coding RNA (278 nucleotides) under Hevea brasiliensis (rubber tree). The record is from RNAcentral. Lineage: Eukaryota; Viridiplantae; Streptophyta; Magnoliopsida; Malpighiales; Euphorbiaceae.
AUGACCACUCUACACUCACCUGUGUUACUGUAUACACUCAAUAAUUCAAUUAAUUUCAAUGGCCUUCAAUUAAAACUACAACUUCUUAACUUUGUUGUACCACUCCACUCACUACACAAAUAAGGCCACGUUCUCCUUUUAAAGCUACUAGACAAGAGUCCAAUUUGGACUUCACAAAACUAAUUCCUAUUCCAAUGUGAUUUUGGAUUUCUACCAAAUUAAGUAAACUUUUUUUUUUACUAAUCUUCCUAAAUUAAUUCUAUUACUACUCUUCCAAU